Molecule: long non-coding RNA, 2026 nt
Organism: Heterocephalus glaber (naked mole-rat)
Lineage: Eukaryota; Metazoa; Chordata; Mammalia; Rodentia; Bathyergidae
Source: Ensembl
CCUUUGUUCAGAGACAGCCUGGCAGAUCUAUCCCCCUAAUAAAGGCUUGUUGUGGCCUGGUCUGGUCUUGGUCUUCGGCCCUUUUACCUGACAUUUCUGGUGCCGUGACUCGGAUGGUAGAUGGUCCAUUAAUGGACGUUCCCCCGCAGGACAGGGUUGAUUGACCUUUUGGCCAUCUCCAACGGACCUAUCUGCUGUUGCCAGGACCCUCCGGGGCUUUCUACCUUUGCCAUUGCUGACGCUACACAUCCACACCUGUCACCAAUGUCUGGGUGAGUAGGGAGUUCAGCCUCCCUCUCGUCGGGUUCUGUGUCUCGUUCUCUCUCCCUCCGGGGACUUCUCAGAAAUCCAAGCGCUUGGUCAGAGAAACCCCCAUGGCCUCUGGGCCCAGGACCGUGCCCCUGGGAGACGUCCCAUCGGCCCGCCUCCUCUCGUUCUCUCCCUCUGGGAGACUCACUGGGAGAUUGUCAAAGGAGACAAGGACGCUUCUCCCCUUUGUCUUUCUCCCCAGGGGCUGCCUCCUCCUCACCCGCUCUAAUCAGGGGGCCCAACAAUCCAAACCCCGCCCCUCAACGCCUCUGGGCUGCCUUCUGGCACAACUCAAACCCCUCGGAUUGUUGGGACCAGACUUUAAGCCAAAAAAGAUUUGUUUUCUAUUGUAAUCAGGUUUGGCCUCAGUAUAAAUUAGAUAAUGGGUUUCCACGCCCCAAAAAUGGCACUUUCAAUUUUAACAUACUGUGUGAUUUACACAACUUCGGUCAACGCAAUGGCAAAUGGUCAGAAAUCCCCUACAUACAAGCCUUUUCUACCUAUGCUCUUAACCCUCCCUCUGUCAAACCUGUUCUCCUUCUCAAGUACUCCUAGCCUGAGCCUAUCACUCACCGCUCAUACCUCCCCCACUUUAUAACUCUGUUGAUAAGAAAAAAUUUUAAAGCCUAAUAGAUUAGCUAUUAAAGUAGUUGUGGAAGCAAACUAGGUAGUGUAUCCCUUUAAAAACUUGCCUUAGCCCAUUGCUUCUGCUGUUCAAAGUGAAGGUUUAUAGCUUCUUUGAUUUGUAGCUCCACUAUAGAUAACAUCCUAACUAAAGAAUGAAGUGAAAAUCCUUGAACAAACUUGUGAUAUAUGUGCCUUAACUGUCAUGUGUUUAGGGCUGUAAUCAGUGACAGAAACCACCUGUGUCUAACCAUUAAACAGGAAUUAGAACUUUAUUUACUUAACAAAGACCACUAGGGAUGAGAUAAUGAUGGACAAAAGUAUAAAAUGUUUAUAGUGAGUCGGGAGACAAAAUAUUUAAAAAGCUAUAAGUAAAAGAUAUAUUUUUGAUAUAAAAGGAUUUUAUAUGUUUGUCUUAUUAGCAGGGCAAGACCAAAAGGCCUAAGUACAUCAAGAAGGUGUGCGAAAGUGAUUUAUAAAGGAAAUAUAUAUGUUUACUUGUUGGUUUCAAGUUUGUUAUAAAAGGUUUACAGAAAUAGAGGUUUCAUUGCUUCUGAUUUUAAUUCUACAAGAGAUCUCUGUUAAUUGACUUACAAAAAGUUUUAAAUAGUCUUAUUUAUAAUUAUAAACCUAAAAUUAUAAAGAGAUUAUAAUUCCAUUGGGCUAAAUAUAUUUGAGUGCACUCUAGUUUUAGAAAUUGUCUUAUAUCUUUGUUUUUGUCCAAUCCUACAGCUGUUUUGUUUAUAGAUAAAGGUUAUUAAGUUCAAGGCAUGCUCCCCUUGGUGAACAAAGGAGCGGCCGCAUGGAAAUAUUUUCCAGUCUUUGUUCACUAGGGGGACCUCAACAGUUUUCAUCUUACAACAGACUGACCCGAUGGUUUUCAUAGCCUUAUAAAAGACUUACAGGAAUAAAUAUUAUUUAAAUAUAUUAUUAUACUGUUUAUAUCAAUUGUCAUCAAAGGGAUAAAUUCUAAAUAUGUUAUUAUGGUGUGCUUACACUGGUUAUUUUCAAAGGACUAAAUAUCCUGUAAAAAACAACAAUAACAAGGUUUUAUUUUUUCUAGUGUACUAAAUGUAUUUAUACUUUCUGACUG